This 236-nucleotide non-coding RNA is filed under the name Bacillus sp. (in: firmicutes). RNAcentral's name for it is "Bacillus sp. T-box sequence". It matches the Rfam family "T-box leader". Rfam says of the family: Uncharged tRNA acts as the effector for transcription antitermination of genes in the T-box leader family. The record is from RNAcentral. Lineage: Bacteria; Bacillati; Bacillota; Bacilli; Caryophanales; Bacillaceae.
AAUAAAACGUUAAGAAAGAGGAGUAGCAUAAAAACAUUGCACUACAGAGAGCCGGAGUGGGUGAGAACCGGUAUGCAGGCUUUAUGUGAAUGGGCUUUCGAGUGAUUCCCUGAAAGAUUAGUAGGGGAAUACGGGAUUCCGCCGUUAAAAGGAUAGGAUAUUAAAUGAUGGAUUCCUUCCUCAUCGUAUCUGAAAGAGAUCCAACGGGGGUGGCACCACGAUUAUACGUCCUCCAU